Triticum urartu is the source of this 1687-nucleotide non-coding RNA. NCBI's taxonomy places the organism in Eukaryota, Viridiplantae, Streptophyta, Magnoliopsida, Poales, Poaceae. The record is from RefSeq and is a predicted model, not a curated record.
UAAAUAUGGAGAAUCUCAAGACAACUUCUCGAGUCAUUUUAAGACUCGGGGGCUACAAUGACAUGACUCGGCGAAAUCGGCCAGUUUUAGUGAAUUCAAGAACUCCGGGUCAAUGGAGGGAAGAUAACCCGGUCCCGGAGACUACCGCCAUAUUGGUAAAAAAUUAAAGGCCGUCAGAAAAUUUCCGGCUCACAAUGAUGCUUCGGUUUACAAUCCGGCUCAAGGUAUCCUAAACCGGCAGUAUGAUUCAAUAUCACAUGAACCAGUUUUGCAAACCGGAUUUUAUUAUUCAAUUCUUUAAUAGCCAACAUGGCUGGAUUUUUAUUAUGGUUAUCAAUAGCCAGUAUUAUGAUGGAGGUCUUCAAAGUCGCUUCAGCGCAAUGGCUAUUAUUCUAUCAAUGGGCAUGAUUUAUUUUACAAUGGAGGAAAUAGUCCCGAGUCGCUCUAGGCUUACGACCCGGCACUUGGGGCUACAUUAUUCAAGUUGAGAUUACAUUAAAUAUGCAAGUCUCAUGUCGCUGCGAGCAUGCACCAUGACACUUGGGGGCUAAUGCAAAGCCAUUUUACUGGCCUUAUUGAAGACCCGACUCAUCCCAUUGAAAUGAGCCGGCCCUUGGGGGCUACCAAUUGCUUCUGUCAAAACAUUCAAGGUACACAAGAUUCAUCCCAUUAUAUUGAAAGAUCCACUACUCAGUUGGUAGAGUACAAAGCUCUUAACCUUAUGGAUGUGGGUUCAAGCCCCAUGGUGGAGAUUACAUCAUAUGAUGUUAUCAUCAAUGAAUUAUAUACAAAGUUCCAGCUCAGUAUUAUCUUACUGAGCCGGCCCUUGGGGGCUACAUGUUGCUGCUCAAGUUUACAUGAUCAUAUUUACAAAGUCCCUGCUCAUUAUUUCAUAAUGCCCGGCACUUGGGGGCUACAAGUGAUAUGAAUAUAAUGGAGUUCUACAUCUUUAAGCUGGCUGAAGAUCAUAUGAGUAUUUCAUGUCCAAUGUUUUCUAUUAUGAAGCUGGUCUAUUGACUCAGAUUUUUUACAAGAAGGAAAUACCAAGGAAUUAAGGAUGAUCAGGUGCCGGCUUACAAGAGCUUUUAACCCAGAGUAUAAUCUGUCAAAAUUGUUGUUGUAUUUGUUUUACAAGAUCAGUUUAAACAUGGAUGAAUCCAAAUUAAACUGGGGGCUAAUGUUGGGGAUAUACCCCACGGUAUGACCCGGCCAGAGAUAUGACCCGGCUGGGACUUGAUGUUUCAUUGGUGACCCGGCAGACUAUAAGCCGGCGGGAACAGUUAAGCAUUGUAAGCUGGCAGACACAGUCAUGUAACCCGGCAGACACAAUCAUAUAACCCGGCAGACACAGUCAUGUAACCCGGCAGACACAGUCAUAUAAGCCAGAUAGUCAAGCAGACAGUUAAGUCAGAUAGUUAAGCCGGACAGUUAAGCCAGAAAGUUAAGCCGGACAGUUAAGCCAGAUGGUAAGGCAGAUUGUAAAUCAACAGUUAAGAAGCCCAUGGAGAGAAGUCAGAAUAGUUAAGUCUUAAGUCCGAGUUGGACUCUACAUGUAACCCGCCCUUUCAACAUAUAUAAGGAGGGGUAAGGCACCCCAAGAGGGACAAGUCGAAUAAUCAUUAAGGCUAGACACAAAGAGAGGAGAGUCGGGUUUACGUUGUCUCCCUCAUGAGCAUAAUGAGAUCUA